CCGCAGCAGCCGCGGUAAUUCCUACGGGAGGCAGCAGUGGGGAAUUUUGGACAAUGGGCGCAAGCCUGAUCCAGCCAUGCCGCGUGCGGGACGAAGGCCUUCGGGUUGUAAACCGCUUUCAGCCGGAAAGAAAUCGCCGUUUUUAAUACAGACGGUGGAUGACGGUACCGGAAGAAGAAGCACCGGCUAACUACGUGCCAGCAGCCGCGGUAAU
Molecule: ribosomal RNA, 214 nt
Filed under: uncultured bacterium
Lineage: Bacteria
Description: partial 16S ribosomal RNA
Rfam family: Bacterial small subunit ribosomal RNA
Source: RNAcentral